This 462-nucleotide ribosomal RNA is filed under the name uncultured bacterium. Its description in RNAcentral is "partial 16S ribosomal RNA". It matches the Rfam family "Bacterial small subunit ribosomal RNA", at positions 28 to 507 of the family's 1533-position model. The record is from RNAcentral.
GACGAACGCUGGCGGCGUGCUUAACACAUGCGAGUCGAGCGGAAAGGCCCUUCGGGGUCCUCGAGCGGCGAACGGGUGAGUAACACGUGAGUAACCUGCCCCAGACUUUGGGAUAACCCUCGGAAACGGGGGCUAAUACCGGAUACGACACAGCUUCGCAUGGGGUCUGUGUGGAAAGUUUUUCGGUUUGGGAUGGGCUCGCGGCCUAUCAGCUUGUUGGUGGGGCGAUGGCCUACCAAGGCGACGACGGGUAGCCGGCCUGAGAGGGCGACCGGCCACACUGGGACUGAGACACGGCCCAGACUCCUACGGGAGGCAGCAGUGGGGAAUAUUGCACAAUGGGCGGAAGCCUGAUGCAGCGACGCCGCGUGAGGGAUGACGGCCUUCGGGUUGUAAACCUCUUUCAGCAGGGACGAAGCGUAAGUGACGGUACCUGCAGAAGAAGCGCCGGCCAACUACGUG